UGGGGAAUAUUGGACAAUGGGGGCAACCCUGAUCCAGCCAUGCCGCGUGAGUGAUGAAGGCCUUAGGGUUGUAAAGCUCUUUCGCCCGCGAAGAUAAUGACUGUAGCGGGAGAAGAAGCCCCGGCUAACUUCGUGCCAGCAGCCGCGGUAAUACGAAGGGGGCUAGCGUUGUUCGGAAUCACUGGGCGUAAAGCGUACGUAGGCGGGCAAUUAAGUCAGGGGUGAAAGCCUUGAGCUCAACUCAAGAACUGCCUUUGAUACUGGUUGCCUGGAGUCCGGGAGAGGUGAGUGGAACUGCUAGUGUAGAGGUGAAAUUCGUAGAUAUUAGCAAGAACACCAGUGGCGAAGGCGGCUCACUGGCCCGGUACUGACGCUGAGGUACGAAAGCGUGGGGAGCAAACAGG
Molecule: ribosomal RNA, 404 nt
Filed under: uncultured bacterium
Lineage: Bacteria
Also listed under: 1 other name
Description: bacterial SSU rRNA
Rfam family: Bacterial small subunit ribosomal RNA
Source: RNAcentral